Molecule: long non-coding RNA, 487 nt
Filed under: Bos taurus (domestic cattle)
Lineage: Eukaryota; Metazoa; Chordata; Mammalia; Artiodactyla; Bovidae
Description: long non-coding RNA NONBTAT024609
Source: RNAcentral
GGUUCAAGAACUCUUCUGCUUUUCUGGGCUAACUCAAAAGUCCCUGCCUCAAUAGACAUUUGAUGUUUCACAGCCUUUAAUUCUCUGAUUAUUCCACAAAAACUUGAGGAAGAGCUUGUAUUACUUUAUAGCUCACUGUUGUGCCAUUUCAUGUGUAUUGGGGAUUGAACAUUAUGACCCUGAAUCAGAGUCCCCAUAGCCUGUCUUAUAUUCCUGAUAUACAGGUUGGACAGUAGAAGUGUGGGGAGAAGACAGGACACAUCUGCUUUCUUGGACAAGCCUCCAAAGCAUACAUUUGUACUGACAAAUAAAUACAAGUAACAGGAGUAAAAAGCCCAAAGCCAGGUUCACGUAUGAGUGAAAAUGAUGAAAAUUUAUUACAACCCGUGUAUGUAUGUUAAGACACGGAAAGUAAACUAUAGGCUUGUUCGUUUCUUAACUAUGUAAGUGACAGAAUGUGGGCUUUAGAGUCCAGAUUGAGUUUGAA